RNAcentral lists this ribosomal RNA (483 nucleotides) under uncultured bacterium. Its description in RNAcentral is "bacterial SSU rRNA". It matches the Rfam family "Bacterial small subunit ribosomal RNA", at positions 9 to 524 of the family's 1533-position model. The record is from RNAcentral.
GAGUUUGAUCCUGGCUCAGAAUCAACGCUGGCGGCGUGCCUAACACAUGCAGGUCGCACGAGAAAGUGGAGCAAUCCAUGAGUAAAGUGGCGCACGGGUGAGUAACACGUGAAUGAUCUACCUCCGAGUGGGGAAUAACUGAGAGAAAUCUUAGCUAAUACCGCAUAAUACCCACGGGUCAAAGCAGCAAUGCGCUUGGAGAGGAGUUCGCGGCCGAUUAGUUAGUUGGCGGGGUAAUGGCCCACCAAGACGAUGAUCGGUAUCCGGCCUGAGAGGGCGCACGGACACACUGGAACUGAAACACGGUCCAGACUCCUACGGGAGGCAGCAGUGGGGAAUUUUGCGCAAUGGGGGAAACCCUGACGCAGCAACGCCGCGUGGAGGAUGAAGCCCCUUGGGGUGUAAACUCCUUUCGAUCGGGAAGAUAAUGACGGUACCGAUAUAAGAAGCCCCGGCUAACUUCGUGCCAGCAGCCGCCGUAAG